GCCAGCGUGGCAUAGUUGGUUUGAGCAUUGGACUAGGACUCUGGAGACGGAGUUCGAAUCCCAGCUCAGUCA
This is a non-coding RNA of Phrynosoma platyrhinos (Desert horned lizard), 72 nucleotides long. Lineage: Eukaryota; Metazoa; Chordata; Lepidosauria; Squamata; Phrynosomatidae. The record is from the annotation of a GenBank genome assembly.